AUUGAACGCUGGCGGCAUGCUUUACACAUGCAAGUCGAACGGCAGCACGGGGGCAGCCCUGGUGGCGAGUGGCGAACGGGUGAGUAAUACAUCGGAACGUGCCCGGUCGUGGGGGAUAACGUAGCGAAAGUUACGCUAAUACCGCAUACGAUCUGAGGAUGAAAGCGGGGGACCUUCGGGCCUCGCGCGAUCGGAGCGGCCGAUGUCAGAUUAGGUAGUUGGUGGGGUAAAGGCCUAACAAGCCGACGAGCCGUAGCUGGUCUGAGAGGACGACCAGCCACACUGGGACUGAGACACGGACCAGACUACUACGGGAGGCAGCAGUGGGGAAUUUUGGACAAUGGGCGCAAGCCUGAUCCAGCCAUUCCGCGUGCAGGACGAAGGCCUUCGGGUUGUAAACUGCUUUUGUACGGAACGAAAAGGCUCUGGCUAAUACCUGGGGCUCAUGACGGUACCGUAAGAAUAAGCACCGGCUAACUACGUG
RNAcentral lists this ribosomal RNA (484 nucleotides) under uncultured bacterium. RNAcentral's name for it is "partial 16S ribosomal RNA". It matches the Rfam family "Bacterial small subunit ribosomal RNA", at positions 29 to 507 of the family's 1533-position model. The record is from RNAcentral.